CACCUUCGGGUGAGCGGCGGACGGGUGAGUAACGCGUGGGAAUAUGCCCUUUGGUACGGAAUAGUCCUGGGAAACUGGGGGUAAUACCGUAUGCGCCCUUCGGGGGAAAGAUUUAUCGCCAAAGGAUUAGCCCGCGUUGGAUUAGGUAGUUGGUGGGGUAAUGGCCUACCAAGCCGACGAUCCAUAGCUGGUUUGAGAGGAUGAUCAGCCACACUGGGACUGAGACACGGCCCAGACUCCUACGGGAGGCAGCAGUGGGGAAUCUUAGACAAUGGGGGCAACCCUGAUCUAGCCAUGCCGCGUGAGUGAUGAAGGCCCUAGGGUUGUAAAGCUCUUUCAGCUGGGAAGAUAAUGACGGUACCAGCAGAAGAAGCCCCGGCUAACUCCGUGCCAGAGCCGGCGGUAAUAA
RNAcentral lists this ribosomal RNA (409 nucleotides) under Paracoccus versutus. RNAcentral describes it as "bacterial SSU rRNA". It matches the Rfam family "Bacterial small subunit ribosomal RNA", at positions 82 to 526 of the family's 1533-position model. The record is from RNAcentral. Lineage: Bacteria; Pseudomonadati; Pseudomonadota; Alphaproteobacteria; Rhodobacterales; Paracoccaceae.